RNAcentral lists this non-coding RNA (27 nucleotides) under Mus musculus (house mouse). The record is from RNAcentral. Lineage: Eukaryota; Metazoa; Chordata; Mammalia; Rodentia; Muridae.
UUCCUGGCCAGUUGAGCUCACGCAAGA